RNAcentral lists this unclassified non-coding RNA (413 nucleotides) under Coregonus zenithicus (shortjaw cisco). RNAcentral describes it as "nontranscribed spacer". The record is from RNAcentral. Lineage: Eukaryota; Metazoa; Chordata; Actinopteri; Salmoniformes; Salmonidae.
UUUGUUCCACUAGAGAGUGCUCUUGUGUCAUGGAGCAACUGCUUUUAUUUAUCACCCUAAUAAUAUCAUGUAUUUUUAUUGGACUAAAUGCAGUUUGUAUGUGCUGCCCUGCCAUGCCCUGAUCAAAUUAAAUAAUAGACAGUGCUUUUCCCUCUAAAUAUAUGUGUCAUUGAGCAACUGCCUUUUAUUUAUCUCCCAAAUAAUAUCCUGUAUUUUUAUUGGACUAAAUGCAGUUUGUAUUUGCUGCCCUGCCCUGCCCUGAUCAAAUUAAAUAAUACACUGUGCGUUUCCCUCAAAAUAUAGACAGUACAUUCAGCCUUUGUUUUUAGUCGGUUCAUUAAGUUGCAUGGAAAUACGAAUCACUGAUACAUUUUGCUCUUGUCUUUAUAUAGUGUACCAAGAGUUGUUCACUU